RNAcentral lists this ribosomal RNA (233 nucleotides) under uncultured bacterium. RNAcentral describes it as "partial 16S ribosomal RNA". It matches the Rfam family "Bacterial small subunit ribosomal RNA", at positions 118 to 350 of the family's 1533-position model. The record is from RNAcentral.
CGAGUAACCUGCCCUUCACUCUGGGAUAACUCCGGGAAAACCGGGGCUAAUACUGGAUAUGACUCGAACAGGCAUCUGUUUCGGGUGGAAAGAUUUAUUGGUGAAGGAUGGACUCGCGGCCUAUCAGCUUGUUGGUGAGGUAAUGACUCACCAAGGCGACGACGGGUAGCCGGCCUGAGAGGGCGAUCGGCCACACUGGGACUGAGACACGGCCCAGACUCCUACGGGANACA